AGAUUGAACGCUGGCGGCAGGCCUAACACAUGCAAGUCGAGCGGUAGAGAGGUGCUUGCAUCUCUUGAGAGCGGCGGACGGGUGAGUAAUGCCUAGGAAUCUGCCUAGUGGUGGGGGAUAACGUUCGGAAACGGACGCUAAUACCGCAUACGUCCUACGGGAGAAAGCGGGGGACCUUCGGGCCUCGCGCCAUUAGAUGAGCCUAGGUCGGAUUAGCUAGUUGGUGAGGUAAUGGCUCACCAAGGCGACGAUCCGUAACUGGUCUGAGAGGAUGAUCAGUCACACUGGAACUGAGACACGGUCCAGACUCCUACGGGAGCAGCAGUGGGGAAUAUUGGACAA
This 342-nucleotide ribosomal RNA is filed under the name uncultured soil bacterium. RNAcentral's name for it is "bacterial SSU rRNA". It matches the Rfam family "Bacterial small subunit ribosomal RNA", at positions 26 to 371 of the family's 1533-position model. The record is from RNAcentral.